This 429-nucleotide ribosomal RNA is filed under the name Chloroflexota bacterium. RNAcentral describes it as "Chloroflexi bacterium partial 16S ribosomal RNA". It matches the Rfam family "Bacterial small subunit ribosomal RNA", at positions 355 to 776 of the family's 1533-position model. The record is from RNAcentral. Lineage: Bacteria; Bacillati; Chloroflexota.
UGGGGAAUAUUGCACAAUGGGCGCAAGCCUGAUGCAGCCAUGCCGCGUGUAUGAAGAAGGCCUUCGGGUUGUAAAGUACUUUCAGCGGGGAGGAAGGGAGUAAAGUUAAUACCUUUGCUCAUUGACGUUACCCGCAGAAGAAGCACCGGCUAACUCCGUGCCAGCAGCCGCGGUAAUACGGAGGGUGCAAGCGUUAAUCGGAAUUACUGGGCGUAAAGCGCACGCAGGCGGUUUGUUAAGUCAGAUGUGAAAUCCCCGGGCUUAACCCGGGAAUUGCAUCUGAUACUGGUCAGCUAGAGUCUUGUAGAGGGGGGUAGAAUUCCAUGUGUAGCGGUGAAAUGCGUAGAGAUGUGGAGGAAGACCGGUGGCGAAGGCGGCCCCCUGGACAAAGACUGACGCUCAGGUGCGAAAGCGUGGGGAGCAAACAGG